Molecule: long non-coding RNA, 376 nt
Filed under: Dasypus novemcinctus (nine-banded armadillo)
Lineage: Eukaryota; Metazoa; Chordata; Mammalia; Cingulata; Dasypodidae
Description: lncRNA (ENSDNOG00000050251.1)
Source: RNAcentral
GGCUAUCAAAUAAUUUUAAACUGUCAACCAACCCAGCAGAUUUUGCCUAGGGUGAAUGCUGUUUGUGUGUCUUAUUGAAGUCAAUGUGUUUGACCUUUAAAAUUUCUAACAGGUCUUAUUUUUGCAGUUCCUGACCACCACGGCUUUAAGACUGUCCUUCAGCUGGGAGGGAGAUCCGUUGCUUUAAGACUAGCCUGGGAGCUGGGACGCCCCUCUGGCAAUCUGUCAGUGCCUGAACCAGCUGCAUCCUUUCUGGGGCAUUUUCUCACCAGACUGACAGUCCUUACGACAAGUAUGCAGUUAAGCUGCUAAGGUAAGUCUGACGAUAUUGGAACUCUUUGCCCCGGACCCACAGCUGGCCAUUCCUUCCGCUUUG